UAAAGAACUGCCAUCUUAUCAGAACAAUAACUUUCUGUUUUGAGACAUUGCUCUAAAAUGGAAUGGAUCCAAUGCCUCCAAUGUCUUUCAGUAUUUCCAGUUCAAGCUGGAAGUAUAUCUUUAUUGCUGAAGCUUCAAGGUGACUAACAGCUGCAAAUACAACAAAAGAACAACAAAUAAAAUGAAGAAAAGAAAAUGUAAAGAGCAAUGUACACACAGCUGAAGGCCUGCUCCCAUCCUUCUACAACAGGGCUGUCAAAGUCGAGACCCAUGAGCCAGAUCCAUCACAUGCUGGCCAUGGUCCUGCCCAGUUUAAUGAAGUGGGGGGAGAGUUCCAAUACAUCACGUGACACUGCCAUGAUGACUUGAGUUUGACAUCCCUGUUCUACAAUAUAUUAAGUGUAGUCUGUCAUCACUAAAGGGCUGCUCACCUUGAUCUGGCCAGUGACAGACUGAAGAAGAUAAAAGUGGGGUAAAGGGAGCAAUGCAAGUGUGCUGAUAUGACUUGGUUUAAAGAGACAAUCUUAGCAAAAACAGGCAGAAUCAUUUUAUAAUAG
Molecule: non-coding RNA, 557 nt
Organism: Pseudonaja textilis
Lineage: Eukaryota; Metazoa; Chordata; Lepidosauria; Squamata; Elapidae
Source: RefSeq, a predicted model, not a curated record